AGCGAUUAGAGAACCCGUGAAUGAUCGCCCGGCCGUCCCGAUCGUUGCCCUUAUAUCCCUCUCGGGGUGUGGUGGCCACGGUGGAGGAUGGAUGAAACACAAAACGGCGCAGCAUCGCGCCAAGGGAAGAUAGAAAGGCACGAGCCCCGCGUCGCGCUCGUUGUAGUGGAGUGCUGUUGCACGCCAUGAGGAUUCACAUGACUCUCGGCAAUGGAUAUCUCGGCUCUCGCAUCGAUGAAGAGCGCAGCGAAAUGCGAUACGUGGUGCGAAUUGCAGAAUCCCGCGAACCAUCGAGUCUUUGAACGCAAGUUGCGCCCGAGGCCAGCCGGCCAAGGGCACGUCCGCCUGGGCGUCAAGUGUUGCGUCGCUCCCUGCCAGCUCCGUCCUGCUAAUGGGCGUGUCGGCCAAGGCUUCGGAUGUGCAGAGUGGCUCGUCGUGCAUGUCAGUGCGGCGUGCUAAAGAGCAGGUUUCGUCUCGCUGGCGGCGAACAACAAGGGUUGGGUGAAAGAUGUUAGCGCAGUCAGUGUUGUCUCGCGUCGGCCCGAGAGACGGAGUGUGCCUUUUGAUGUGAACCCAAAACACGCACCGUUCGGCAUGCGGUGGCUUGGAAUGCGACCCCAGGACGGGCGAGGCCACCCGCUGAAUUUAAGCAUAUCAAUAAGCGGAGGA
Molecule: ribosomal RNA, 669 nt
Filed under: Dichaea sp. OT4185
Lineage: Eukaryota; Viridiplantae; Streptophyta; Magnoliopsida; Asparagales; Orchidaceae
Description: eukaryotic LSU rRNA
Rfam family: 5.8S ribosomal RNA (bases 200-355)
Source: RNAcentral